GACGAACGCUGGCGGCGCGCCUAACACAUGCAAGUCGAACGGAGCUUAGAGAGCUUGCUUUUUAAGCUUAGUGGCGAACGGGUGAGUAACGCGUGAGUAACCUGCCCUAGAGUGGGGGACAACAGUUGGAAACGACUGCUAAUACCGCAUAAGCCCACGGUACCGCAUGGUACUGAGGGAAAAGGAUUUAUUCGCUUUAGGAUGGACUCGCGUCCAAUUAGCUAGUUGGUGAGGUAACGGCCCACCAAGGCGACGAUUGGUAGCCGGACGGAGAGGUUGAACGGCCACAUUGGGACUGAGACACGGCCCAGACUCCUACGGGAGGCAGCAGUGGGGGAUAUUGCACAAUGGGGGAAACCCUGAUGCAGCGACGCCGCGUGGAGGAAGAAGGUUUUCGGAUUGUAAACUCCUGUCGUUAGGGACGAUAAUGACGGUACCUAACAAGAAAGCACCGGCUAACUACGUGCCAGCCGCCGCCGUAA
Molecule: ribosomal RNA, 482 nt
Filed under: uncultured bacterium
Lineage: Bacteria
Description: partial 16S ribosomal RNA
Rfam family: Bacterial small subunit ribosomal RNA
Source: RNAcentral